AUUCCAGCUCCAAUAGCGUAUAUUAAAGUUGUUGCAGUUAAAAAGCUCGUAGUUGAACUUCUGGCUAUUCUUCCAGCUGGCUUCGGUCACUGUAAGAGUGGUCAUCCGCUUGGGAACUACGUUCGAACUUCACUGUUCGGCGUAAGGAACAGGCAUUUUACUUAGAAAAAAUUAGAGUGUUCAAGGCAGGCUAUCGCCCUGAAUACACAAGCUUGGAAUAAUGAAAUAGGACUAUUUCCAUUUUAUUGGUUAUUGGAAUUAGUAAUGAUUAAUAGGGACAGUUGGGGACAUUAGUAUUUAAUUGUCAGAGGUGAAAUUCUUGGAUUUAUUAAAGACUAACUUAUGCGAAAGCAUUUGUCAAGGAUGUUUUCAUUA
The sequence is a ribosomal RNA, 375 nucleotides long. It matches the Rfam family "Eukaryotic small subunit ribosomal RNA", at positions 582 to 975 of the family's 1831-position model.